Arachis ipaensis is the source of this 3829-nucleotide RNA transcript. It is a transcript of the gene named ubiquitin-specific protease 2, with no coding region annotated. Lineage: Eukaryota; Viridiplantae; Streptophyta; Magnoliopsida; Fabales; Fabaceae. The record is from RefSeq and is a predicted model, not a curated record.
GUCGCGGUCCUCUUCUCGGCGUCACUCACGUUCGUUCUCUCCGAGCUCACUCUCUCUCACCGUCGCGAACGUCGGUCACCUCGCCGGAUCGGUCUCUGCUCGUGAACGCCGGUCACCUACCUUCCUCGCCGUCUCUCCGGAUUGGAUUGGAUCAGGCUUGCAUUCUUUCUUGAACCUAGGUUACUGGCCUUCCAAGUAAAGCUUUUGAUCCUUUGGAGAUUCUUGUUUUGAAUCUUCCUCCUUGGCUUCCUGAUAGUAAGUCAGGAACUGAUGGGGAAGAAAAUCAGAAGAAAGAACCGAGCUUCUGCUAAGGAGAAGGCAGUUGCUAUGCAGUCUCCGAAGAAAGCUUUAGAGUCUCCCAACCCAACUGUUGAGUCUGUUGAUGAGGGGAUCUCUACUGCAAAAGAAACAAGUUCUUGUCCUCAUCUUGUAAAGGGUAUUAAUUUAAAUACACUAUCUAGCAAGAUUGAAUCUUCUGGAUCAGUAAGGUGUGAAGAUUGCAGAGAAGGUGCUGCUGAUAGGAGAGGUGGAAAAGGAAAAGGGAAAGGUAAUAAACAAGGGAAGAAGAAAAGUGGCACACCAGUAGAUUCAAAAUCUGAGUCCAAGGCUAUAUGGGUUUGUUUGGAGUGUGGUCAAUAUACCUGUGGAGGUGUGGGGCUACCAACAACCCCUCAUUGCCAUGUUGUCAGGCAUGUGAGGCAACAUCGGCAUCCCUUGGUGGUUCAUUAUGAAAAGCCUCAGUUGUGUUGGUGUUUUCAGUGCAAUAUGCUUAUUCAAGUUGAUAAAAUAGAAGAGAAUGAAGAAACAGGCCGUGUUCUAUCUGAUGUAGUGAAAUUGUUGAAAGGGAGAUCAUCGCAGAAAUCAUCAGCGGAUAUUAAGGACGUUGGUAUUGAUGGCAGUGUUACUUCAGAAAUUAAAUCAGGAGUGAUUGUCAGAAAUGAUUUAUAUGGACAUGGUGGCUAUGUAGUUCGAGGCAUGAUUAAUCUUGGGAAUACUUGUUUCUUCAAUUCCAUCAUGCAAAAUUUGCUAGCUAUGGAUAGAUUGCGGGACAACUUUCUGAAUUUGGAUUCUCCUUUUGGACCAUUGGUUAGUUCCUUGAAGAAACUGUUCACUGAAACAAAUCCAGAAUCAGGAUUGAAAACCACUAUAAAUCCUAGAUCAUUUUUUGGUUGUGUGUGCUCCAAGUCUCCCCAAUUUCGAGGAUAUCAGCAGCAUGACAGUCAUGAAUUGCUCCGUUGUUUGUUGGAUGGGUUGAGUACUGAAGAGCAAGCUGCAAGGAAACAAAAUGGUUCGCCCAAGAGAGAUGGCACCCCUGCAAAUACUUUAGUUGAUGAUUUAUUUGGGGGUCAGAUAUCUAGUACUGUACGGUGCAUUGAAUGUGGAAAUUCCUCAACUGUUUACGAGCCUUUUUUAGAUCUUUCACUGCCAGUUCCAACUAAGAAACCCCCUCCUCGGAAAGCACAACAAGCAAAUCGAGCCAAAAAGGCAAAACUUCCACCAAAAAAAGGUGGAAAGACCCGAGUCAAAGUUAACAGGGAUGAUGAUCCAAUAGCUGGUCAAAGUAUAUCAAACCAAUCAUCUGUCCAUGAGUCAACCUCCCCUGCUCAGUCCAAUGUGUCGGUUGCGGGUGAGGUGGCAGCCCCUUCUGAUUGUGGUGAUUCUACAGUAUUGGUUUCAAAGGAAAUAAGCAAUGUUGCUAAAGAGCUGUCUUCACCUAAUUUGGUUGCUGUUGGAGAGUCUCAAGAUAUGCAAGUGCUUGACAAUGAUGCAAAUAAGAUGUCAGCUUCAUCAGAUGAUCUUGCAUGGUUGGAUUAUGUGGAAGCUGACAAUGUCACCGAGGAAUGUGAGUUUCUUUCACCGAAAGAGGGCGAUCAGGAUACUGAUAGCAAGAAUGAACCUUUAAAUGAAUUGCCGGUAGGGGUUAGCUGUGAACCUUAUGGUCCAGAGUGUUCCCCUAAGGAGGAUCAAGACCAAAGACCGUAUUCUUCAACAAAUGGGUGGGAAGACGAGGUUCCACUACAAGUUCAAGGUUCAGAAGUGCUGUUACUUCCUUAUAAAGAGGAAAGUUCCUCUGCUUGUGAGAUUAUUGGAAGGGAUGGUGAGGCUUCCUGUUCGAAUUUGGGCCAUGGUCAAGAAGAAUUAACCUUCGAAGGCUUUGGUGAUUUAUUCAAUGAACCUGAAGUUUUUGCUGGUCCUGCUCCUAGGCCUUCAUCUAAUGAGGUUACGGAAGCUGUUUUUAACAGCGAGUCUGAUCCAGAUGAAGUCGAUGAUACAGAUUCUCCGGUUUCGGUAGAGAGUUGCUUGGCACAUUUUAUAAAACCUGAGCUUCUCUCAGAUGAAAAUGGUUGGAACUGUGAGAACUGUUCGAAAAUUGUCCAACGUAAAAAAGUUGAAGCAAAAAAGAAGGCAAAUUCUGUAUUGGAUGGAAUUGAGAUUGGAUGUCGUGUUGAACCAUUGGAUGCUGCUGACUCUUUUUCUGUUGAAGUCAAAAGCCUUGAUAAUGGGAAUAUUACAGAUACCAAAAAUACAGAAAGUUCAGUUUUACAUAUUAAUCAUGGAACAGUGCUUGAAAAUGGUCAAUCAAAUGGAUUGAGUUCAAAUGUUGAUGAAAAGGAUCACAGAACUUUGAAGAUGAAAGAUACACUUAAUGAGGAACUUCAGUCUUCGGGAUGUCAUAAUUCUUCGAAUGCAGAAAGUUGUAAUCAUUCAGCUGCUGAUUCUAGUGUUAUCGUGGAUAACACUGAAAAUGUUGAAAGCAGAGAUCCUCAGAUGUCAGGUCAGGAUGACGAUGACUCAGAAGAAUGCAGUGAGGAAGAGGCUGACGUGAAAAGUUUGAAGGUGAAAAGGGAUGCUACUAAGAGGGUCCUCAUUCAUAAAGCUCCGCCUGUCUUGACAAUUCAUUUGAAGAGAUUCAGCCAAGAUGCCCGAGGUCGCUUAAGCAAGUUAAAUGGACAUGUCAAUUUCAGAGAAAGAAUGGAUCUCAGACCAUAUGUGGAUCCUAGAUUCGUAGCUGAAGAGAAUUAUGAAUACCAUUUGGUUGGUGUAGUGGAGCACUCGGGAUCUAUGAGAGGGGGUCACUAUGUUGCAUAUGUGAGAGGGGGCCAGAGGAACAGAGGGAAGGCUGAUAACAAUGAGAAUGAGAGUUCCACUUGGUAUCAUGCCAGUGAUGCAUAUGUACGUGAAGUGUCUCUCGAUGAAGUUCUUCGAUGCGAGGCAUACAUUUUGUUCUAUGAAAAAAAUUGAGGGACACCAUCUACUUUCCAGGCUUAUUCCUUUGGAUAAAAUGAUACAUGGCAAGUGAUAUUAUGCCUGGAGCCACAUACAUGGUUCCAAAUGAAACUUCACAUAAACCAGAAAUUUGGUUCUCUUUGGACCAUACGAGACCAUACGAGUGUAGAAACCUAAACUGGAUACGGAUGGUUUUGGCUUAACUCUGCCGCCACCGCCACCUUUGAUGGCGACAACAAUGUUUGGAUCCAUCCGCGUCUUCCUCCUCCACGCUACUGCUUAAGGCACCACCUGUUGCAAAGCCAAAGAGGGGUUGUCAGCAGUGGUUUUGCGCAAACACUGAUCCUCCUUGUGAGAGGGAAAGAAGAAACCCUGUUGCAUCUGUGCUGUUGUAUCUACUGCAUGCAUCCGCACCAAGGGUUUGAGAUGUCAUCCAUGCCUGAUUUUUGGUUUGUGUUGCAUCAGUUUGUUGGUGAAGGAUUUGUUGGGGGCUUGAUCGUUUUGCACCAACGUUCCUGCACAAACAUACCAAUUACUAGAUGAUAAGUAUAUAAAUCCAACAGUUAUAUUAAGUAAUAAUAUUUGCUCUUUUAUAAUUUCA